CACUUCCUGAGUGAAAUGAAGAGAGCCUCCCUCUCCCCUCCCAUCCUCUCCACCUUCUAUAGAGGGACCAUCGAGAGCCUGCUGACCAGCUGCAUCUCACUCUGGUGUGGGAGCUGUAAGGCUUCAGAUUGGAAGUCUUUGCAGAGAGUG
This is a long non-coding RNA of Thalassophryne amazonica, 150 nucleotides long. RefSeq lists it as uncharacterized. The transcript has 3 exons. NCBI's taxonomy places the organism in Eukaryota, Metazoa, Chordata, Actinopteri, Batrachoidiformes, Batrachoididae. The record is from RefSeq and is a predicted model, not a curated record.